AAACACGCCAGCAGCCAGAUCCCUCCGGGAUGACAAAUGGCUUCCUCUCCACGGUGGGGGUGCACCUCGGAGCAGCCGGAGCCCGCACCCGGCAAAGGCCCCACAAGGCCCCACAGGGAGACGCUGCUGCCGCAGAAUCCCACAACCCUGGCCCGUCCCCAGGCACCGGGAUGCCGCCCUCUUCAUGCCAGCCCCGCACGACAGGGGAAUUACAGUGAAUUGGGGACCGUGUGGUGACACGCUGCCUGUCCCCGGGAGCGAGCGAAGGACCUCCCGGGACAAUCAGAUCCCUGGAAGUGGGGGCAGGAGCCGGAGGUGACUCGGUGCUCCCUGGGGACAGGAAGUGUGCUGGCCCCACCUUUAGGAAUCGAGGGUCCACCCCUGUCCCUGGGCUUCUUGCUCCCCAGGAAUGUGGACGGGCAGUGGCUGAAGUCCAGGUCCCCUGCCUUCAGGAAGGUGGCCACCCCCACGAGACGAUCAUGGCAGCUCCGGAAGGACAUUGAAGGGCAAGAGGAGCCCAGGGCAGUCCACUGACAGCGCUUUUAAACGAGUCCAGGUGAAGCUAUUUAUACAGAGUCCAAAUCAGGGGCAUAUGCACGGCCCCCGGGCUCAGGGUGGAGGCGGCAGAGCCCCCCUCGCGGCUCACAGCUCCGUUUGCUCAUCUGCCUCGACAUCUGAGAUGCA
This 684-nucleotide long non-coding RNA is filed under the name Marmota monax (woodchuck). Lineage: Eukaryota; Metazoa; Chordata; Mammalia; Rodentia; Sciuridae. The record is from RNAcentral.